GACGAACGCUGGCGGCGUGCUUAACACAUGCAAGUCGAACGGAAAGGCCCUGCUUUUGUGGGGUGCUCGAGUGGCGAACGGGUGAGUAACACGUGAGUAACCUGCCCUUGACUUUGGGAUAACUUCAGGAAACUGGGGCUAAUACCGGAUAGGAGCUCCUGCUGCAUGGUGGGGGUUGGAAAGUUUCGGCGGUUGGGGAUGGACUCGCGGCUUAUCAGCUUGUUGGUGGGGUAGUGGCUUACCAAGGCUUUGACGGGUAGCCGGCCUGAGAGGGUGACCGGCCACAUUGGGACUGAGAUACGGCACAGACUCCUACGGGAGGCAGCAGUGGGGAAUGUUGCAAAAGGGGCGGAAGCAUGAGGCAGCAGCGCCGCGUGCGGGAUGACGGCCUUCGGGUUGUAAACCGAUUUCGCCUGUGACGAAGCGUGAGUGACGGUAAUGGGUAAAGAAGCACCGGGUAACUACGUG
This 468-nucleotide ribosomal RNA is filed under the name uncultured bacterium. RNAcentral's name for it is "partial 16S ribosomal RNA". It matches the Rfam family "Bacterial small subunit ribosomal RNA", at positions 28 to 507 of the family's 1533-position model. The record is from RNAcentral.